This is a small nuclear RNA of Nycticebus coucang (slow loris), 103 nucleotides long. Lineage: Eukaryota; Metazoa; Chordata; Mammalia; Primates; Lorisidae. The record is from RefSeq and is a predicted model, not a curated record.
UCACUUCAGCAGUGCAUACACUAAAAUUGGAAUGACGCAGAGAAGAUUAGCAUGGCCCUUGUGCAAGGAUGGCACGCAAAUUUGUGAAGCACUCCAUAUUUAA